AAAUUGAAGAGUUUGAUCAUGGCUCAGAUUGAACGCUGGCGGCAGGCCUAACACAUGCAAGUCGAACGGUAACAGGAAGCAGCUUGCUGCUUCGCUGACGAGUGGCGGACGGGUGAGUAAUGUCUGGGAAACUGCCUGAUGGAGGGGGAUAACUACUGGAAACGGUAGCUAAUACCGCAUAACGUCGCAAGACCAAAGAGGGGGACCUUCGGGCCUCUUGCCAUCGGAUGUGCCCAGAUGGGAUUAGCUUGUUGGUGGGGUAACGGCUCACCAAGGCGACGAUCCCUAGCUGGUCUGAGAGGAUGACCAGCCACACUGGAACUGAGACACGGUCCAGACUCCUACGGGAGGCAGCAGUGGGGAAUAUUGCACAAUGGGCGCAAGCCUGAUGCAGCCAUGCCGCGUGUAUGAAGAAGGCCUUCGGGUUGUAAAGUACUUUCAGCGGGGAGGAAGGGAGUAAAGUUAAUACCUU
RNAcentral lists this ribosomal RNA (472 nucleotides) under Escherichia coli. RNAcentral's name for it is "partial 16S ribosomal RNA". It matches the Rfam family "Bacterial small subunit ribosomal RNA", at positions 1 to 469 of the family's 1533-position model. RNAcentral also lists the same sequence under 1 other name. Lineage: Bacteria; Pseudomonadati; Pseudomonadota; Gammaproteobacteria; Enterobacterales; Enterobacteriaceae. The record is from RNAcentral.